This 629-nucleotide ribosomal RNA is filed under the name Buckleyzyma aurantiaca. Its description in RNAcentral is "eukaryotic LSU rRNA". It matches the Rfam family "Eukaryotic large subunit ribosomal RNA", at positions 47 to 663 of the family's 3401-position model. Lineage: Eukaryota; Fungi; Basidiomycota; Cystobasidiomycetes; Buckleyzymales; Buckleyzymaceae. The record is from RNAcentral.
UAAGCGGAGGAAAAGAAACUAACAAGGAUUCCCCUAGUAACGGCGAGUGAAGUGGGAAAAGCUCAACUUUGUAAUCUGGCAGCUUCGCUGUCCGAGUUGUAGUCUCGAGAAAUGUUUUCCGCGCUGGCAUGUGUAUGAGUCUGUUGGAAUACAGCGUCAUAGAGGGUGAGAACCCCGUUCAUGACACAUCUCCCAGUGCUUUGUGAUACAUUUUCGAUGAGUCGAGUUGUUUGGGAAUGCAGCUCAAAAUGGGUGGUAAAUUCCAUCUAAAGCUAAAUAUUGGCGAGAGACCGAUAGCAAACAAGUACCGUGAGGGAAAGAUGAAAAGCACUUUGGAAAGAGAGUUAAAAGUACGUGAAAUUGUUGAAAGGGAAACGCUUGAAGUCAGACGUGCGCAGUGCGAUUCAGCUCUAUUUCGGUAGAGUGUAUUUCGUGCUAUUGCAGGCCAGCAUCGGUUUUGCGAGCCGGAUAAAGGUUAGUAGAAGGUAGCAUCUUCGGAUGUGUUAUAGCUUCUAACUGAAUACGGAUUGCGAGACCGAGGGACGCAGCACGGCGCAAGCCAGAAGAUUCGUCUUCUUCGUGCUUAGGAUGCUGGUGAAAUGGCUUUAAACGACCCGUCUUGAAACACG